AUGGACGAAUACAACGAGAAUAUUGCCAAGGCUAUUAUUGCAUCAAGGGCAAGACUUAUUACCGAUGCUGAGCGCAAAGUUGAAUAUAUGCUCAUGGAAUUAUGGAUCCAUUUAUCAAGGAUGACUCUACUUGAUGUCGCCGCAUACCAGCAGAAGAUAAAGCUCAGCCAUAGGCUGGAAGACUGGGGCUAUAUAGAUUGCUUUCUAAAACCAAUGCAGAUCACCCUGCUGAAGAAGGAGAGGAAGUUAGAAAUCAGUUUUCAGUUUUACAGGUGCAAACUCAACUCAUUCCACUGUAAUACUGGACAUCCAGAUGUCCAGGAUGUCGGAAGCAUCGGCGUUGCAUUCAUGAAUCUGACAUACACAUGUGAUGUUCGCUCCGGUUCCUCCUCUACCCAGCAGUAUGGGUAA
RNAcentral lists this ribosomal RNA (411 nucleotides) under Triticum aestivum (bread wheat). RNAcentral's name for it is "partial small subunit ribosomal RNA". The record is from RNAcentral. Lineage: Eukaryota; Viridiplantae; Streptophyta; Magnoliopsida; Poales; Poaceae.